This 253-nucleotide ribosomal RNA is filed under the name uncultured bacterium. RNAcentral's name for it is "partial 16S ribosomal RNA". It matches the Rfam family "Bacterial small subunit ribosomal RNA", at positions 524 to 776 of the family's 1533-position model. The record is from RNAcentral.
UACGGGGGGGGCAAGCGUUGUUCGGAAUUACUGGGCGUAUAGGGCGCGUAGGCGGCCCGCUAAGUCAGACGUGAAAUCCCUCGGCUCAACCGGGGAACUGCGUCUGAUACUGGCAGGCUUGAAUCCGGGAGAGGGAUGUGGAAUUCCAGGUGUAGCGGUGUAAUGCGUAGAUAUCUGGAGGAACACCGGUGGCGAAGGCGGCAUCCUGGACCGGUAUUGACGCUGAGGCGCGAAAGCCAGGGGAGCAAACGGG